CAGGAGGGUGACCAGGAUUUUCGUGCAGGGGGUUGAGCGGCAUGGAUGCCGCGAAAGUCGCGAUGGGCCAUGGAUGGCCCUUCGCGACGCACCUCCGGAACGAUAAUUCUGGGCACGAACCCU
Molecule: regulatory RNA element, 123 nt
Organism: Pseudomonas sp.
Lineage: Bacteria; Pseudomonadati; Pseudomonadota; Gammaproteobacteria; Pseudomonadales; Pseudomonadaceae
Source: Rfam